GACGAACGCUGGCGGCGUGCUUAACACAUGCAAGUCGAACGCUGAAGCUCAGCUUUUGUUGGGUGGAUGAGUGGCGAACGGGUGAGUAACACGUGAGUAACCUGCCUCCUUCUUUGGGAUAACGCCCGGAAACGGGUGCUAAUACUGGAUAUUCACUGGUCUUCGCAUGGGGGUUGGUGGAAAGGGUUUUUCUGGUGGGGGAUGGGCUCGCGGCCUAUCAGCUUGUUGGUGGGGUGAUGGCCUACCAAGGCUUUGACGGGUAGCCGGCCUGAGAGGGUGACCGGUCACAUUGGGACUGAGAUACGGCCCAGACUCCUAUGGGAGGCAGCAGUGGGGAAUAUUGCACAAUGGGCGCAAGCCUGAUGCAGCGACGCCGCGUGAGGGAUGGAGGCCUUCGGGUUGUGAACCUCUUUCGCUCAUGGUCAAGCCGCAACAAUGGUUGUGGUGAGGGUAGUGGGUAAAGAAGCGCCGGCUAACUACGUG
RNAcentral lists this ribosomal RNA (483 nucleotides) under uncultured bacterium. RNAcentral's name for it is "partial 16S ribosomal RNA". It matches the Rfam family "Bacterial small subunit ribosomal RNA", at positions 28 to 507 of the family's 1533-position model. The record is from RNAcentral.